GGAGUCAGACUGCACGAGAUAAGUUGGGCAGUCAAAAGGGAAAGAGCCCAGACCUGCUGCUAAGGUCCCAAAGUACGUGUUAAGUGGAAAAGGAUGUGGGAUUUCGAAGACAACUAGGAUGUUGGCUCAGAAGCAGCCACACAUUCAAAGAGUGCGUAAUAGCUCACUAGUCGAGAGGUCCUGCGCCGAAAAUGUCCGGGGCUGAAACACGACACCGAAGCUUAGGAAUCACAUAGUGAUUGGUAGAGGAGCAUUCUUAAAACCGACGAAGCUGUACCGGAAGGAGCAGUGGAGGGAUAAGAAGAGAGAAUGCCGGAAUGAGUAGCGAGAGAGAGGUGGGAAUCCUCUCGGCCGAAUAUCCAAGGUUUCCAGGGUAAAGCUGAUCUGCCCUGGGUAAGUCGGGGCCUAAGGAGAGGCAGAAAUGCGUAUCCGAUGGACAGCAGGUUGAGAUUCCUGCACUAUCUUAAAACAGAACUGUGGGGACAUUUGUGGAGAGCACAGGCGCGGAACGGAAAGCCGCGUGCAAGCGAAGGAGGAGUCACAUAGGAAAAACCGUGUGGCAAUCCAAAGGCGUGAUGCGGACCGAACUAAAGUAGGGAAGUGUGUGAGCCAUGAAUCAAGAAAAGCCGCUAUUGUUUUUAAGAUACCCGUACCGUAAACCGACACAGGUGGAUGAGGAGAGAAUCCUAAGGCCGGCGGAAGAAGCAUUGUUAAGGAACUCGGCAAAAUGACCCCGUAACUUCGGGAGAAGGGGUGCCACAGAAAUGUGGCCGCAGAGAAUAGGCUCAAGCAACUGUUUAGCAAAAACACAGGUCUAUGCAAAACCGUAAGGUGAGGUAUAUGGGCUGACGCCUGCCCGGUGCUGGAAGGUUAAGAGGAGAGGUUAGCGCAAGCGAAGCUUUGAAUUUAAGCCCCAGUAAACGGCGGCCGUAACAAUAACGGUCCUAAGGUAGCGAAAUUCCUUGUCGGGUAAGUUCCGACCCGCACGAAAGGCGUAAUGAUUUGAGCGCUGUCUCGACAAUGCAUCCGGUGAAAUUGAAGUACCAGUGAAGAUGCUGGUUACCUGCGCCAGGACGGAAAGACCCCAUGGAGCUUUACUCCAGUUUGGUACUGGGAUCCGGUACUGCAUGUACAGGAUAGGUGGGAGGCUAUGAAAUGGUAACGCCAGUUGCCAUGGAGCCGCUGUUGGGAUACCACCCUUGCAGUAUUGGGUUUCUAACCAGCCGCCGUGACCCGGCGGUGGGACAAUGCCAGACGGGGAGUUUGACUGGGGCGGUCGCCUCCGAAAGGGUAUCGGAGGCGCCCAAAGGUUCCCUCAGAAUGG
This 1324-nucleotide ribosomal RNA is filed under the name human gut metagenome. RNAcentral's name for it is "bacterial LSU rRNA". It matches the Rfam family "Bacterial large subunit ribosomal RNA", at positions 980 to 2330 of the family's 2925-position model. The record is from RNAcentral.